This is a long non-coding RNA of Ictalurus punctatus (channel catfish), 487 nucleotides long. The record is from Ensembl. NCBI's taxonomy places the organism in Eukaryota, Metazoa, Chordata, Actinopteri, Siluriformes, Ictaluridae.
GGCUUCUGUGGAGCAGUGAGAGAUCUGCCUGCUGGAGAUGAAAGAGGAGAUGCAGGUUAUCACUUUCUGGCCAGUGGUAUACGUGAGGGGAGGGGCAAGCAAGGCACACACAGCGAAGGACCCGGAGACAUGGACAUGCAAAUUAUCCUGCAGCUGGGCCAUGAACAUGAGCGAGAAGAAAAGGACGUUCUGAUCAAAGUUAAAAGACAGAAAGGAGGAAUAAUGUUUACGCGAAACGUGUCCGUGGAUCUUUCAUCCUCCUCCUCAUCAUCAUCAUCCAGGUCGAUUUGAACCGGCUACAUGGAGCAUGAGCACUAAUCCUUCCUGAUUUUUUUUCUCUUUUUUUUCUUCUCUCUUUUUUUUUCUUUUUUUUUUUGGAGGGGGAAAUCCAAGACGGAUUAUUUCUGUAUUUGGAUUUUCUUUGAAACUCCACUGAGGAGCAUCAGGAAGGUGUUUCCGACAAAGUGGAAGCAGACAGCUCAACCUG